GGACCCGAUAUUUCUCGACCCCAAGGAAAGGGCACAAUCCACUUCAAGGAAGAGCAUACUAUCAGCUCCUAGAAUGCCUUGGUGUUAUUAGGAUCCAUUCUCCAAUGAGAGCCGCAAGGAAGCAAGACUGGUCUGAUAUACCAAGUCCAGAAACAAUAAGCAGAGCUCACUCUGCUGCAGUACGCUUGAAAAAGAAUCAAGCUGGUCAAGAGGGUGAUCAGGGACAAUUCCGCAACUGUAAAGUAUGGGACACUCGGGCCCUUACGGCAGUGGACCUGUAUCUGGAUCACCAGAUAUGAGUGAUGUCCGGAAGAACUCAAACUACAGCAGAUGGGAGAUCAUGCCUUUUGAGAAAUUAAGUAAAGCCGCACAAGAUCAUUUCACUCAGAUGGAGGGCGUAGCCUUGUACAAAAUGGAUGGUAAUAAGUUGGAUGAUCUAGUCUGUGUGAGGCAUUCCUUGAAGUCUGAAGUGUGAUAGCAUCAUCAGCCUUUGGCUAACUGGGAGCUGCUGCAGUUACCUCUCUUUAUUGGGAU
Molecule: non-coding RNA, 534 nt
Organism: Sesamum indicum (sesame)
Lineage: Eukaryota; Viridiplantae; Streptophyta; Magnoliopsida; Lamiales; Pedaliaceae
Source: RefSeq, a predicted model, not a curated record